Pangasianodon hypophthalmus (striped catfish) is the source of this 6774-nucleotide long non-coding RNA. RefSeq lists it as uncharacterized. The transcript is spliced from 2 exons. Lineage: Eukaryota; Metazoa; Chordata; Actinopteri; Siluriformes; Pangasiidae. The record is from RefSeq and is a predicted model, not a curated record.
GGGACUUUGCUCGGCCUUUACCCCAGGGGUAUAAAAGCCUCAGGGCAGUGGGAGGCUCUACCGAUCACACUUAACUCUCGACACCCGCCCCGUGUGUACCAUUAACACAUUGCUCUAGAUUAUGUUUUUUUGUUUGUUUUUUUUAAUCUAAGAUCAUCACGGUCAUGUCUGGCUGCUUUGUAUCUAAUGCUAAUCGAUUUUUUUUCCUGAGAUCCGCUGCGGUGACGAAUUUUGAUGGCAUUAUUAACCAGGCUGACCCACUUCUUUUUGGCUUUUGGGAUGGACAGGAGUGUGCGACAGUAUGGAAUAUAACUUAGAGACCAGUUUGACGAGAUCCCAGGGAAUAAAGACAGAAAAACCAUCACUAAGCUUCAUCUUUCCGGUGCUGUUACUGCAUUUUCUUUUUCUCUCUCCUAAUGUCAGCACACUGUCCAUACUGUCUCCUACUCCUGUUUCAGAUCCCACAGGAUGUAGCUCAGAGAAUCUGGCUUUCGUAGGACAGGUGGGAGGAUGGGGGUGGGGUUUCCUCUAAAAGUACCAUGAUGCAUUGCCAAUCAGACAUGCCCAUACUGUGAUGAGAUGGGCUGGAGGCCUAUGAUUGCCAAAGUUAUUUUUAACCUACCUUGCUCUGUUCCUCCAGCCUUUCUAUUUUGUUUCAUUUCAACUUUUUUUCCCUGUGCAUCAUAUGAAGAAGCAAGACACCUCCAAUGUCACUGCCUCCUUUUCUCCUUUCCAUCUCUUUUAUUUUCACCUCCUUUUCUCUUUUCCACCCUCUCUCUCUCUCUCUCUCUCUCUCUCUCUCUCUCUCUGUCUCUCCCCUUCUCUCUGCUCUCAUCCUUAAACUCUCAAACGCUGAUUCAGCUGCUGGUAUACAGACGAUCCUGCUGCCAUCCCCAUCCAGUACAGCUUCUCUCGGUAAGUGAGUGCGUAUGUGUGAAUGUAUGUAUGGGACAUGUGCGUGUAGGUGAACACUCUUCAUCUUGUCCUGUCUCUUCUGCUACGUGUCUGUGUUUAUGUAUGUGUUAAUAUGCAGCCAAAGCAGCGCUGAGCUCUCUGCUCUGGCAUACUGCUCCUGUCAAAGUUGCUUUAGUGCUAGCGCUAGUGGAGAUGCUAGCACCCUUAUUAUACUACUGCAUCACACUACAACCUGCGUUAGGUUAUGCCAGCAGAAGAAGCUGAAGCAAUUUGUGAAGUUUGAAAAUGGCUGAGUUCUUUAUUGUUUUAGAGUUUUUGCAAUCGUUUUUGCGUGACGAUUUGAUAAAAUGAUUUUGUGUAAAACUGUUCUCAAUUAUUUUUAGGAUAAAAGAUACAUUAAGAAUAUUAGUGUUGCAAUAGCGCAGGGGCAGACUGUAGGGUAAUUUGUCUUUACUCACAUGUCUUUGAAAUCACAAUUCCAAAGUGAUCCUUUCAGAGAGGGACAGACAGUGAUGAUGAGACAGAAAGAGACCGACUCACAUGACCUUGACCUCUCUAUGGGACAUAAAGGCCAGUCAGCUCUCUACCUGCUAAUUUUACCCCGUUGGCAUGGUGGUGACCCAGGCCAUGUUUAAAUGCAGACUGAACCAGAGCUUGGAGGAUCAGGUGACAGUUGGACUGUUCUCAGAUUGAACAGCUGCUGAAGGUGGAGAACUGUGGUGUGGGGAGCUCGGGAUUGGCUAGUGCAGGACAGGAAUGGUACACCUGUUCCUAAAGUGUGUGUGUGUGUGUGUGUGUUCUGACAAACAUAUUUCCAAGUAAUGGUUCCAUCUAUAGUGUAGGGGUGGAAAGCUCAUAUUAGAAGUUGGCUGUGUGCAAGAGAGAGAAAGAGGGUGGGGGAGACCUGGAUUUACACAACUGGUAGCAUCAAAGAAGGACGGAUGAAAAAUAAAGGCGGGUGAAUGCGGGAGAGGGAAGGAGUGGUGAUUUAUGAUGACUUUCAGUUUAAUUACGGAGAAGCUGCUAUAGGGAGAGACAGCUAUAUGCAGUCAGCCAUUAGCCGUUGGAUGCAGACUUCUGCUGGUGUCAGUAAACUAUACAUAAAGUAUGGAUCAUUUAUAACGGAUACGAAAUGCUUGUUUUUUAAGCAAUCUGGUUAUGUGGACUGGAACAGGCUGUGCAGUCAGAAACAUAAACAUAGUGUAUGUAUUUAAAUGUUGAUCUGAUAAUGACAGCUCCAUCUAUCCACUUUUUAGUAGUGCCAUGUACUGAAAAAGCAAUGUUGUGGUUUACUUAGGUGUUCAAAGUGUAAAUCACAGAUAAAAGGAAGUGUAAUCUCCUUAGUAGUUGUGUGUGUUCUGUUUACUGUGUAUAUAGGUAAUGGGUGCACACUGUGUUGUCUGGUUCUCAGUCUUACAUUGAAAGCAUAUGGUAAUAUAUGAGCUCAAUAUAUUGUGUUCUUUAAUACUUAAGUAAUUAUUUAUGAGCUUCCAUAAUGUAAUUCUUGUCUCUGUGCAUUUCCCCUUAAGUAAAUAAAUAAACAAGUUAGUGUGUAGUUGUAUGUGUAAUUAUUAGAAUUAUUAUUAUGUGUAAUUAUUAUAUUAUGGCAAUGACUUUAUAUUAUUUUGCAUAGUCUGCUUUGUAUGUGGUGUGAAAAUUUGGGGUGAUUUGGGGACAAACUUUGUGAUAAUUACAUAUAGAAUGUAGUUAAACAUCUGCUUCAGAUCUGCUUAAUUACACAACAUGCAGAACUACUAUAACUGUUACCUUGUUAGACAUUUUAAUUACCAGAUCAUUGUCUUUGUAGGUACGUAAAGGUAAAGCAGUCUAAUGCAGAUAGCUAAUUAGUAACACUUUGUAUAAAUAAGACUUGCACUUUUAAAAAACCUUUAGUUAAGGAUACUAAAUAUAAAAUAGCACAUGGUCACUUGAUACACAUGCAGACUUAUACACAUACUUAGACACAGCAUGAGGGAUCAUUAGACUACUGAGGCUGGUUGGUUCCUCCUCUGACUUCCCUGUGCUCUAAUGGUCAAACUGAGUGUCAUGCGAAGGUAACACGCACCCAUUCACACACCCAUACACACACACACACACACACACUUCAUAUAGUGUCUCUGCUAUCCAACACUGCAGUGAGGUGCUUGCAGUGAGAGCAGUGACACUUCACAGUGAUGGUCUAAUUAUUUAAGAGGAAACUCAGCUGUGUGCUACUUGUCUAUAAAUUGGAGUUUAUCACUGAAGGAGGUGGUGGGGAUGUAAAAAAAAAAAAAAAAGGUGAUACAAGGUGAUACAAAGGAGAAACAAAUACACACUCCUAUACACAGUGGUCCUCUUUGUGUUCUGAAGUGUUUAUUUAUAGAUGUAACUACUUUAUAUCCCAGAGAUGUCCAUUAACACUUUGUGUAAGCCAACAUACGCAUUUAUAAUCAGACCAUUAUUGGAUGCAUGUAAUCAGUGAGCAAGAGUGAGAGAGAAAGGGAAUGAGAGAGCAGGAUAUACUGUCAAGGGUCAAUGAAAGUAAGGGGAGGGGAAAAGAGCGAGAGGAAGAGAGAAUGAGGAGGAGGUGUGUGUGGUGCAGGCUCUAUAGGCUGUGCAUUAUGGACUGAGAGAGUGAGAAAGCCAGGCAAUGAGAGGAUGAAAGGUGGAAUGCAGUGAGGCUAGGUCAGCGAUACAGAUCAUCAGAUAACCAUUUAUCUCCUCUGGACCAUAUUAGCUACACAUCAGAGUGUUCGAGCCUAUUCAGGACAGUGAUGAGAGAACAGAGGAGCCCUGCAGUGGACAAACUUUACUGUUUGUGUGUCUGUGUGUGUGUGUUGGGGGGACAGACAGACAGAGAGAUGGGAGGAGGGAGAGAGUGUUAGAGUGUGAAACAGAAUAAGAGAGAGAGAGAGAGAGAGAGAGAGAGACAGACAGACUCUGAUAGCAAGAGAGGGAAAAAAGAAGGAGGAAAGAGAUUGCAGAGGUAGCACCUGGGCCGGAGUAGAAGAGAGGAAAAGACAAGGCACUCUUUUCCUUCCUGUUUGCCUGUUUGGUGCAUUGGCCCAUUAGAAACUGAACCUGAGGGACUCAAUCUGAUGGCUACCUACUAGAUUUGGGCUGCAGCCGUGAGCUCCAGCACUACUGUCCCACUCAUCCCAGAAUGCUUUGCUAAAGCUGGUAAAAUGGAACCAAAUCAACUGUUCUAUGGAUUUGGUCCCCUUCAACCAGCUGUAGCUGUGCAUUGAUCACCCCAGAGGGCAGUGAGAUAGACAGAGAAGAUCUGGGAGCACACAAACACAUACUAACACUCUACAGGAUUCACCUUAUGACCAUGUCUGACAGGAUCUGAACAUCCAAGGAGCUGUCAUAUGGAUUCGUUGAUCCAGCUAGAACACCAACCUGAUACACUUCACCCCACACAUUAUAAUCUCUAAUAACAUGAUUAAACACUGUGAGGUUAUUAAAACCCAGGUGAACAUUAACCAUUCCAUGCUGUUCAACUCUUUAUGACUGAUAAUAUCGGAUUAUGAAUCCAGCCCCAUUCGCUGUCACUGGAAUAUAGGCUUGCUGAGCUUUAUGGCUGCCCAUUGAUUUCUUGUCUUGCUGGUGAAAGAGAGAGAUGUGGAGGGACAGGAUGGGAGAGAGGGCUGCACGUCAAGCUGUUGAAUAAGUAAAGCAAUCGUUCCUUUUCUCCUCUUUUUCCCCCACACACUUGUCGUGAUCCUUAAUGCACGUUUCUGAUCAAUAAAAGCUCAUCCUGAGGUCCAUAAAUGCUGAAGUGGGUGUUUUUUUUUUAAAUGCUGGCUUCUUGAUGGAAGGAGGAAGGUCAAAGUGAAGGGAAAUGGAUAGGAAGAAAAGGAAAAUAAGGGAAGAUGGAUGGAUGUAUGGAGGACAGGAGUUGGCAGAUUGACAUGACAGUGCAGAAGAACUGUGAAUAAAGGAAUGGGUAACAUGAUGCUACCACACAAUAUCCUAGAUUCUAGCACAGGCUUGUUACGGGAAUUGAAUAUUCAGAUUAAUAUUCUAAGGACUAAUUAAGGCAACACUAACCAAAUAUCAGGCAAAAUAAUCCUGUUCAUUACUGAAACCUUAACCAUUUGUAACAUUUAGUCAUGAUAUCAUGUUAGUUAAACACCAAGGUCUCCUUCACACAGCAUAUUUUGCUGGUAUAACAGCAGCACAUAGCAGAUUUGGUUGGGCAGGAACUUUCUUUCUUUCUUUCUUUCUUUCUUUAUUACUUACUGACUUACUUAUUUACUUAUUUGUUGCUUGUUUGUAUUUAUCAAGUUGUGCCCAGAAAUGAAUAUGACAAUGUAGACCAUAUUGGGCAGCAGUGAACAGGAGGUGUGACAGCUGAAAUCUGCUGGUGCAGUGGGACUUUUAAACCUACUUUGACCCAAAACUGCUGGAAUUUCUGACUUCAUUGCUCACAAGCCAGUUUUGUGGAUGUACUCUGCUUCUGUCAAUAGCCUUCUUUAACCAACUAUUAAAUACUAUCGUCUGUAUUAUUUUAAAGUGACAAAUAAAAACAAACAACCAAGUUGUGGCUACUAAAUGUGAAUUAGACAGUUGUCACCUUAUUGCACAUGGAACAUCAUAUAAUGAAUAGAUUUAAUAAAAUUACAUAACUAAGAGAUGAGAAGUUAGCCAAUAUAAAUGCUUUGAGCUAGAGCUUUGUCAAAAGGCAGCUCUGGCUCGGAGGCAGGAGGAAAUUAAUUGGUUCAAACAGCCAACUGCUGGAGCUUACUUUUCGAAGGUUUGCAUUAAUUCCCUAGCCAGUAACAGUACUGCUGUUUGUUAGCUUGGCUUUUGACUUUUGAUUUUGACUAAAAAAGGGGUUCUUAUUUAUAUGAUGUUGGCAACAAAAAAAAAAUGUCCAUUUUCUGUUAGUGGUGUUAAAUUAGUUCGUUUUUGUUAAAUUAAAAAACUGUUCAGAAAGCUACCUACACUCUAUAAUAAGGUACAUAAGCCAUAAACUUGUCUGAUCACUAACAUUAGCUUAUUAAUUAGCUGGCAACAAUGUCAUCAACAACUUUUGGAUAUCUAGCUGGCUUGUAACUUAAAUAUUUAAAUAAAGUGUGCCAUUCUACGAGUCACCAUGCUGAGCAGCUCUCACUGUGUAUCUCAGCAUCCUUUACACCUCUUGAUAAAAUAUUAAAACAAACCCCAACCUUUUGUAAAAUUACACCACUCUGGGUCACAAUACCACCUGUGCUGACAGACAGAAAAAUAUAUAAUGUACUGUAUGUGCCAUAACUUCAUGUCCUAAUGCCAUGAUCUUUUGUCGGGUUUUGCCAUUUGUAUUAUGAUCACAGGAAUGUGUAAGUUGCCGUGUUACACCAGCUCCACCUCAUCAUUCCCCUCCUUCAGGUCGACCUAACCUCUUCUGUCAGCCUUGUUAUGUGGUGUGGUAAUGGUCACAGACGUUUGAUGUGUGUGUGUGUGUGUGUGUGUGUGUGUGUGUGUGUGUGUGUUAGGGGGAAACAGAGCAGAACCAUUUCCCCUGUGUAAAAGAUUUAAUUCUGUUAUUUGUCUUUUACUGGCUGGUAAAAGAUCCUAUUACAAAAUUACUGGGGUGAAUCUUUCUCUCUCUCUCUCUCUCUCUCACACACACACACACACACACACACACACACACACACACACACACACACGGGCAAAGCACAUGGACAAAUUACUGUUCACAAAACAUCGAAACCAGGGAUAUGUAACGAGGUUUUAAGCGAGGUUUCACCAGAAUAAUUGAGAAUCAAAUAUUAACUGUACUGUAUGUAAAGUACAUGUACUACAUGUAAAGUACUGUACUGCAUGACAUGGUAAAGUUCUUCUAAAUCAACUUGAUCUCAUGAAUAAAUUGUGCAAAUUCAAACAAAUUCA